RNAcentral lists this ribosomal RNA (446 nucleotides) under uncultured organism. RNAcentral's name for it is "partial 16S ribosomal RNA". It matches the Rfam family "Bacterial small subunit ribosomal RNA", at positions 335 to 797 of the family's 1533-position model. The record is from RNAcentral.
ACUCCUACGGGAGGCAGCAGUGGGGAAUAUUGGACAAUGGGCGCAAGCCUGAUCCAGCCAUGCCGCGUGAGUGAUGAAGGCCCUAGGGUUGUAAAGCUCUUUCACCGGUGAAGAUAAUGACGGUAACCGGAGAAGAAGCCCCGGCUAACUUCGUGCCAGCAGCCGCGGUAAUACGAAGGGGGCUAGCGUUGUUCGGAUUUACUGGGCGUAAAGCGCACGUAGGCGGACUAUUAAGUCAGGGGUGAAAUCCCGGGGCUCAACCCCGGAACUGCCUUUGAUACUGGUAGUCUUGAGUUCGAGAGAGGUGAGUGGAAUUCCGAGUGUAGAGGUGAAAUUCGUAGAUAUUCGGAGGAACACCAGUGGCGAAGGCGGCUCACUGGCUCGAUACUGACGCUGAGGUGCGAAAGCGUGGGGAGCAAACAGGAUUAGAAACCCCGGUAGUCCCA